UCAAGAAUUCGACGAGGUGGAGCUUCAACGUUGACGAGGCCGCAACCUACCAUGAUUUAUACUUUGUUUCUCAUGCGUCUCACAUCAGGUCAUGCAAAUGAUCAUACGGUUGUCAGAUCUCUACGACAUUGCAAUUGCAUGUGUAGAUACAUGCGACGACAUUGUUGUAAUCUGGAGGAAUGCUGUCGCAUGUAUGCGUACAUAGGUGAAGGGACUUGCCCAUCAUGGAAAACAGAUAGCAGUCCACGUCAUGAGGGAUGGAAGCGUCAGAGUUGAGUAGUUCAGCCAUUGCGACACACCCUGACGUCUGACCGACUCCAUCCGCGUUAGACAAAGAAUAAUAGCAAGUAAUCAUUUUGUUUUUGUGCAUCGUUCUUUGUUAUAAAGUCUUCAGUUCAACCAAAAAUGGACCACCAGAAUGACACCUACUGUGCUUUCUAAUCUGCAUUUCGUGUGGCCGAUAUUUCAUUGGUUCGUGGCCGGUCACCGGUGACAUCAAACACCUAACCUUACUUGGCCACACGAUUUACAUCGUCUCGCUCAACGAUACCCUUGCCGUAGGUGUCCUUGGCGGAUGUAAACGGUGGCUAGUGACUACUCAAAACUGCCGCAUUCCACACGGCAAUGGUUCUUUGGGUGAGUUGACAUCGGUAGCUGUUACGAGGCACACCGGCCAAAGGGCAAGCCUCCACGUGGUGUUUGAUGUCACCAGCGAUGGGUGAGAAAUUAAAGGCCAAAGGAAUUAUUAUACGCCGAAGGUGGUUGUUUGGUCGAGUGUUAUGAGAUUGGCUGGCCAACGCUCUCAUAAAAUUAGUCGCGAUUUUGGUCAUGGAUGGAUUAGUUGGAGUUGAUGUUUUUAAUGACAAGAUGAGAUUUGGUUGUAGAAUCGAGAGAUUGCUGAUGAUGAUGCUAAGACACUGGGCCGCACCUGAUUCAGCCCGGUCUUCUUUUAUGUGUCCCUUGCGAUCCCAUGGAUUCCCCAGAGCAAAGACGUAUACAAAUUAUUCCAACAGGUAGAGCGAGUCCAAAUUGCCUUUUGUGUUGAAAGGGAGCUAUUGGAAACGGGAAGAGUAUCUUCCUUUGACAACAAAGUGAUAUACGGGUUGGAUCACAUUGAUCGUACGAUCACUCUGGCGAGGCUCGACUCGGCCCAUGUCGAGAACAACGAAGCCCAACUGAACCAGUCAAUUCAUACAUCGUAGUUGCAAUUCUCGUCCGUGGAAACACCGACGGCGAUUGAUGACCACGGAGGCCCGCUUGGCUCGGCCUCGGCUGUUGGGGUUUCUGAGUUUGGGCCGCGGAAACGAACUCUUUCAAAUCCUUGGAAUUGACUGAGGGAUGGAUGAUCCUAAAUUUGAGGACGUAGACAAAAUAUCUUUAUCAAUGCUUCAUAUUAGGGAGCCAAGGAGAAUUUUAUUUCUAGGAUUAGCGCAACCCCAUACACUCAUGAGAAAUUAUCUGAAUGUGUCAACUCAGUUUGUGGGACCAAAUAUUCUCAUCACCAUCCUUAAAAUCUUCCGUAAAUAAAGUCCUAAAUCAAAUAUUGAUAUGCAUAUUCUACAGCCAUCGUAGAUUAGAAGGCAUGUUGCCAUGGACAACCUACAGCAACAGGCAUUACUAACUUGUGACAUAUAAAUGGGGCAUGCAACGAUUUCCAUUCAUCCCAAUGCCGCAUCAUGACACAUUGUCGUAGCUCGUUUGCAAUGUCUCAGUCGUCCACAUUCUGGAGCUUAUCCCCGCAACCUCGCAAACUGAUUAAACUACGCCACACAUAUCAUCAUGAUUUCUCAGAAAAUGAUCCAUUCACGAAGAAUAAUUAGGGAAAGAAGUAGAACAAGGAGCAACGAAUCCAGCGGAGCCUACUCGGUGCAUUGAUUCGCUUCAAAGCAUCAGAAUGAAACCCUAGGGGCAAGAAAUCAACCAGAUAGAUACAGAACCAGCAGCAGCAACAACAACUACAGAAAGAUCAAACCAGAAACACAGCUGACAAAAACCCGAGACCGAAGAACUGGAGAAAUGACCAUCUGAUGCAGACUGACUAUGAAGAUUUAAAGAUGAUAAAUAUAUCUGGUGAACAACAAACACUUAAGCAGUAGACCCAAGGAAUUCCAGUCUAAUGGUUAAGUGAUAAGGACAUCUAGAAUUAGAUCAAGGAACUGUCUGACCUUGUUUAACCUAAUAUUCGACCCACAAAAGUAGCAAUACUUCCAUCUUUCUGAGAUCUCAUUCCAUUAUUAAUGAUUUUUUAACCCCCUUUUCUUUCUUUUUUUCAAGUUUGGAUGCACUAUCCUACCAACGAUAGACAUGCAACCGAUGAUCUUAUAGUGUCUCCAACAUGUUCAUGGCCAGAUAUUAAAUGUACAAGGAAGAAAAUAAGAAGCAAGUACCUCCUCACUGAUACUGACAUUGUCCAUCAUGAAGACAAUUGUUUCUGGAUUGUGAUGAUAAUCCAUGCAUGACAUUCCUGGUCAAAUGGUAAUGUUGGCUACUGAAGCAAAUUCUGUAAACAUCUAAAAUAUCAUUCGCUUAGUUAUUGUGCAAGAUAAUUAAGCAUCACAAAAGAACCAGAUUGCAGUUUUGUGCCACACAGAGCACAAUAUUGUUGUCACCAUAGCCAAUAAUUAUGAUCUAGCAAUGGAUGACGGUAGGAAAUUAAGAGCUAUACAUUAGCUCUGUCGUCUCAAUCUUUUGUGUUAAUCAUGGAAGCCUUGUGUAAGAUGAAAUGAUGAAUAGGGAAAAACUUAGCCAACACCAUUAGAAUCAAGAAAAGCACAAACCAGCACUACGAAAACAAGAUUCCUAAGCUCGAUUCCAUGUCACUCCCUAAGUUAAAGUAGUACCAUAUAUGUUUACCUAAUCUUUCACAUACGUUUCCAAGUUAAAGUAAAAGUUAUUACAACAUCGUUAUAUUCGUUCAUAGAAGACUAAAGAAGUUACUUCAAAUCUGCAUCAGAUCAGUAGGCAAUAUUUGUUUUCCUUCAUUAAUCAAUACUCAAUUGAAUAACUAAGCCAACCAGGAAAAGAGCGAGAGCGACGCCCAUACUUCCAGAAUCUAACUCCAAUCUCAAAACAAUAUAAUGAGAUGUCUUCAAAACGAUAGAUUUCGACACUAUAUGAAGAAUUAAGCUGCACAAGGUCUUUCAAAAUGAUAAUUUGUGAUACAACUCUCUGGAUCACCAGACUGUUAUUAACUUGUCGACAGAGUCUAAAUUAUAACAAGAUUACAGUAGAAAGCACAUCAUAUGAUCAAAGCAAUCAUCCAGUUCCAAUAUAUCAACAGAAAUGAAACGCGAAAGAGGAAUAAAAGCAACCAUGUUUCCAGGAAAAAUAAGAUAAAAUCCAACGCAUACACGAAAAGAAAAGGAGCAGAUGACAGGGAUUGAUCUAAACGUAAAAAUAAGAUAAACUGCAAACAGACCGAAGUCUAGAACGAAAGAAAUCGAUCAAUAGGCCACAAAAGAUUCAGGUGAACAUCAUCAUCAUAGAAACCAAAUGCUCCUAACAUCAUCAACUCCGUAUCGGAACCCACAGAAACAGUAUUUCUUCACCUGACGAGGCAGUGGAAGCGAUCGAAGAUCGAGAUGACUCUGGAACGUCUUGGUUGCGAGAAGCGGCUGCAGAGCAACCCAGAUGAGAACGUACCUUCUCGACAUGGAAGGUGGCAAUGGGGCUUAUUUAUAGGGUUUAUGAGGUCCGGGCCGGGCCGAGCCGGGCUGGACCCAUGGAUUAGGAUCCUCUCCAAGUAGAGGGAUCCGACUGUUCGUCGAAUCCACGCACUUUAGAUGGAACCCGCAUCAACAGACGGUCGAGAUGUAGCAAUUGGAAGGCUUGAUUAGAAGUCACACUUGAAGCGGUGACGGUGGACUUCAACACUGGUCCUUUGCUUUACCCACGCGUUUGUGUCGUCUCGAAUGUUCCACCUGCCUCGUGAUUUCGCAUUAGACGGGACACCGCACUGCCGACAAUGACGGAUCGGGUGGAAAGGGCGGGUGAAUUUAUAGCUGGCAGAAACAAUUAUUUGAGUCGUCUCUUAGUUUCUGGUGGCCGGCCUUUUAAAGCUUGAUUAAAGAAGAUGCAGCAGAUAACAGCAACCUUAACAAGGAAUGCAGGAUCGACAUAGCUGCGUAUUAACGCAAUUUAUACUUUAUUUCCACCAAGAGGGGUUUACAUCCGAUGAUAACUUUUAAUAGAUAGCGCAUCAAACAUCCUGUUGUUCAUCUUUGAUGGCUCACUUGAAUGCAUAUUUCAUUACACCUGGGAUAUGAAUGCUACUGAAGUAAGCCUCCCAGUCAAUGUGCUUGGGAUCAAAAUCAAACAUCUUGGCCUCUGCGUCGUCCUUCUUCAUCGCCAUCCUCAACCUCUCCAUGUUUAGAUCAUCAAAGCUUCAAAAUGUAUUCAAGUCAUUCACAUGAUUUAUUCUUUUUAAAAUGGCUUUGUUAAUUAAAAAUAAUAAUCUUGUACAAAUCAUCUUUAAAUCAAGAAAAAGUAUCCUACCAUCCAUCGAAGUAGGCGUAGGGUUUGUAAAGUUCAACAAGAUACAUCACGUACUUGUACUUCCGGUUGAGUUCAUUGUAUCCGCGAGCGAUUCGUCCACAAGAUAAUAGAUUGAAUAGGUGCAUUACCUAUCGAGAGCAGUCACAAUUCGCAUGCGGAGUGAAGUAGGGCUAUACAUCAAAAUGCGUUUGGCAGAAUCGUGCAGAGCUGUAUGUACGGACUGACCUCCAAUGGCAGCUUGUAUCUCAGAGUCAUGAAGACGCGGAAUCUGACCAUGCUUUUGAUGAAAGAAAGCCUCUUUGUCGGCAUGACACUUCCAUCUCUCCCGACGCGAGGGUUGGCAAGGAAGUAACGGAAGUGACAAUGCUCCAGGGUGGCGUAUGUCACUGGAUUUCUCACGGACGAGCCCAUGUGGUAGAUGAACUCGGCCUGCUGCUUCGAGUGAGCUGCCAUGGUCGCCAUCAUCGCAUUCACCACCAUGUCCCCGGGCACCUGCAUCAUUAGGAUCAUCUCAGAACGAUAAUACCCAAAAAAAAGUGUGGAUUGCUGAUGGGUAUGUGGGUCGAAGCUUUGUUCGGACGAGAGAACGAACCACGUCCAUGAUGACAUCGAGAUCUCCAAAGAAGCAUGUGAUCUUCCCCUUCGCGUAACCUAUGAUUACGCUGUCGAUCGUUCUGCACAACAACCACCACACACCGGCUGUAGCUCUAAGGUGACAGUGCAAAUCUAAAACGCAGCGACUCCAUCGACUGGAGUCAUGUUAGAUAGAUAGAUAGAUACCGUGUUCCUUCGACCCAACCCGGCAGUGGAUCACUCUGAACGCUUGUUAUGAUCGUUGGGCGUAAAAUUACCAUCGGCAGAUCUCCUCUCGAGUGUCCAAGCAACAUCUCACCCAUCGCUUUGGUGAAAACGUAGGUGUUUGGCCAACCAAACAACUUAGCCCUUUGGGAUGCAAGAGAUUAGGAACGAAGAGAGAUCAGCUCAAUGGCUCAAUCUAUGAGAUUAGGAGGACGAGCGACGAUAAGGGUCAAACCUGUUUAUCCCCAGUUCCUUCAUGGCUAGCUUCUCUGCUUCCUCGGUCGCGUCCUCUGCACGGAGCUCCCUCUUCUUCUUGUCCGCCAAGCUUAGUUCUGCUUCAAUGUCCAAGUAGGAGUCCCCCGUGAGGGUCUCUCCCAUGAGAAACUUCUUCUCCAAGAUCAGUCCGCUUUGCACGCCAGCUACAUAAGCUGGCAACGAGAGGAAGAUGAGAUCGUUGCAAGUUAUUAAUAUGCACAAAAUCUUAUGUCAUGUGUUAGAAUGGUAUCUUGAAUCAACUCGAAAUGCAACGUACCGGUAGAAACAUGGAGAAGCAUUUGUAGCCUAACACAUCGUUUGGCAAAUUCCAAAAUAUGCUUGGCUCCGAGGACAUUGAUGCCCAACGCAACAUCAUAUCUGUGAGUUAUCAAGUAAAUUUCGCUAGCAAGAGUCGCAACCUUGAGAUCACAUCUUUGUUUGUUUUGUCCGAUUACCUCUCAUCAAAGUUGGUGGUUGCAGCUACAUUGACAACAACCUCUACUUCCUUCCACAAGUUUCUUCGGAGAUCAGAGUCAUGUAUUCCUAAAUCUUCCUGGACUAUGUCGCCAGCCAGAGGAACAAGUUUGCUCGCAACAAAUGAAUGGAACCCGUCGCCGUGUUUGUCUUUUAGAACCUUAAAUAAAUCCUUUUCUAGUAUCUAUAAUGAAAAGAAAAAGAUGAUUAAUUCCAAGAGUUGAACAAUCAGAAAAUACAUAUGCACAAGUAAACCGUAAGUAGAAUUAAGCCUAAUUUCUAGACUCAUGAAUCUGAACCUAAGUUUUUGGUGCAAGCGAAAGAGAAGAGGAAGAGGUAUAUUUCUUGCACGUAACUUUGGUAAGCCAAAAACUUGUAGCUUGUGUGUCCAUUAAGCUUCAAUGACAAAAAAGAAAGAAGAAACCCCUUUGAGGAGGAGGAGUUGCACCUCAGUUUGCACACGCCGGUUGGCGGAUGCGGCAUCACCGGCUCUGACGAGGAGGAACAGCUUCUUGACCUCGGGUUGAACCCGUAGCACCUUCUCCACGAAUACUUUCAUCCCAAACCAACAACGAAAACAAGCAGAACACACACAAAGAUCAGUAAAGAUUGUAAAGCACAUUUUGAUGUUUUCCAAGAGAUGUUUGUGUGAGAGGAGUACUUUUUGCCAGGAAGCCAGUGGAUCCAGUGACCAGAAUGCUCUUGUUCUUGAAGAACUUCACGAUUCGUAUGCUUUCCAUGUCGCUGCUCUCGAGAGCGAAGCCUCUGUACGUGUUUGUGUAGAGAGAGAGAGAGAGAGAGAGAUGGUUUGGGACACCUGAGCGAGGGAUGCAUAUAAAUAGUACUGUGGGUGCGGUGAUUGAUCGUACUGCCACGACGACUUACAAUGAUUGAUCGUAACUUGAAACGGCGGACCAUGUCGUGUCAACUCAUCAUUAAGAUGCAUGCUUUCCUAAGCUUUCUGUGUUGUGUAUAACAUGAUCAGCAAUCAAGAAUUCAAUGAGGUGGGGCUUCAACCUACCAUGAUUUAUACUUUGUUUCUCAGACCUCGUACGCCUUGGUUCACAACCUUAUACUGCAUGAGUCUCACAUCAGGUCAUGCACAUGAUCACACGGUUGUCAGAUCUCUACAACAUUGCAUGUAUAGAUACAUGCAACGACAUUGUUGUAAUCUGGAAUGUUGUUGCAUGUAUGCGCGUAUAUAGGUGAAGGAACUGCCGGUGGCAUGUGGUAAACUGCCGGUGCUCAGUUGGUACGAGGCACCGGCCAAAGGGCAAACUGCCGGUGCUCCAAAUGUCACAUGUGGUGUUUGAUGCCACCAACUAUAGGUAUGAAAUUAAAGGCCGGCUAUCAUUGAAGAUGGUUGUUAGGUCGAGUAUUAUCAGAUGGCUGGCCAUCGUUCUCAUGAAAAGUAGUCGCCAUUUUGAUCAAGGGUUGUUUAGGGGAAUUCUAAUUGACAUUUGAGUCAGGUUGAUUUAGCUGUGAUAUGAAAAUAUAGGGAUAUCUAAAGAAUUAUCAUAGCGAUUUUAGUGUAGGGAUAUCUAAAGAACUAUUAUAGCGGUCGUAGUGCAACUAAGGUGACUUUG
RNAcentral lists this long non-coding RNA (7607 nucleotides) under Musa acuminata (dwarf banana). Its description in RNAcentral is "long non-coding RNA (MACU_LNC005563)". Lineage: Eukaryota; Viridiplantae; Streptophyta; Magnoliopsida; Zingiberales; Musaceae. The record is from RNAcentral.